This 403-nucleotide ribosomal RNA is filed under the name uncultured bacterium. Its description in RNAcentral is "partial 16S ribosomal RNA". It matches the Rfam family "Bacterial small subunit ribosomal RNA", at positions 28 to 526 of the family's 1533-position model. The record is from RNAcentral.
GACGAACGCUGGCGGCGUGCCUAAUACAUGCAAGUCGAACGCAGUGGGGACGGGUGAGUAACACGUGGGUAACCUCCCAUCAGAGGGGAUAACACUUGGAAACAGGUGCUAAACCGAUACUGAUGGAUGGACCCGCGGUGCAUUAGGUAUUUGGUGAUGUAACGGCUCACCAAGGCCACGAUGCAUAGUCGGUCGGAGGGGGUGCGCGGCCACGUGGGGACUGGGGCACGGUCCAGACUCCUUCGGGAGGCAGCAGUAGGGAAUCUUAGGCAAUGUAGGAAAGUCUGACCGAGCAACGCCGCGUGAGUGAAGAAGGUUUUCGUAUCGUAAAACUCUGUUAUUAGAAAAGCGGUAUCUGGCCAGAAAGCCCCGGCUAACUACGUGCCAACCGCCGCGGUAAUUC